UGGAAGGCUCUAGGGGAAUAAAGAUGGAAUGACUUCUAAUUUUUAGGUCCGUAUGAUUUGAAAUACUUUCACACAAACCGCGCGAAAGCGUUCCUGGAAAUCUCAGCCCCAAAAAGGACGUUUAGUAAUUCUAGAAGGGACUAUAGGAUGAAAAACAAUAGUUUUGGUAGUUAAAGUUUGAGAUUCGAUGGUGCCGUGGAUCCGUUUGGUCAUCAGGUGUUACGAGCCACACCCAUGUCUAGCUAGAAUAGUAUGUUAGGCUCAGGUUAGAGAAGAAACGGGGAACAAACUGAUGAAAAAAUGAUCAUACCAAGGGAAUUCACUCAGAACUAACAAGAAUGAUAACGUGCUCCGACUGGAGCGGUUUAGGAACUGCUGGAAGGCUCUAGGGGAAUAAAGAUGGAAUGACUUCUAAUUUUUACGUCCGUAUGAUUUGAAAUACUUGCACACAAACCACGCAAAAGCGUUCCUGGAAAUCUCAGCCUAAAAAAGGACGUUUAGUAAUUCUAAAAGGGACUACAGGAUGAAAAAUAAUAGUUUGGGCAGUUAAAAUUUGAGAUUCAACGGUGCCGUAGAUCCGUUUGGUCAUGAGGUGUUACGAGCCACACCCAUGUCUAGCUAGAAUAGUGUGUUAGGCUCAGGCUAGAGAAGAAACGGGGAACAAAUUGAUGAAAGAAUGAUCAUACCGAGGGAAUUCACUCAGAACUAACAAGAAUGAUAACGUGCUCCGACUGGAGCAGUUUGGAAACUGUUGGUAGGCUCUAGGGGAAUAAAGAUGGAAUCACUUCAAAUUUUUAGGUCCGUAUGAUUUGAAAUACUGGCACACAAACCGCGCGAAAGUGUUCCUGGAAAUCUCAGCCCAAAAAAGGACGUUUAGUAAUUCUAAAAGGGACUACAGGAUGAAAAACAAUACUUUUGGCAGUUAAAGUUUGAGAUUCGACGGUGCCGUAGAUCUGUUUGGUCAUCAGGUGUAACGAGCCACACCCAUGUCUAGCUAGAGUAGUGUGCUAGGCUCAGACUAGAGAAGAAACGGGGAACAAAGUGAUGAAAGAAUGAUCAUACCGAGGGAAUUCACUCAGAACUAACAAGAAUGAUAACGUGCUCCGACUGGAGCGGUUUAGGAACUGCUGGAAGGCUCUAGGGAAAUAAAGAUGGAAUGACUUCUAAUUUUUAGGUCCAUAUCAUUUGAAAUACGUGCACACAAACCCCGAGAAAGCGUUCCUGGAAAUCUCGGCCGAAAAAAGGAUGUUUAAUAAUUCUAAAAGGGACUACAGGAUGAAAAACAAUAGUUUUGGCAGUUAAAGUUUGAGAUUUGACGGUGCCGUAGAUCUGUUUGGUCAUCAGGGGUUACGAGCCACACCCAUGUCUAGCUAGAAUAGUGUGUUAGGCUCAGGCUAGAGAAGAAACGGGGAACAAAUUGAUGAAAGAAUGAUCAUACCGAGGGAAUUCACUCAGAACUAACAAGAAUGAUAACGUGCUCCGACUGGAGCAGUUUGGAAACUGUUGGUAGGCUCUAGGGGAAUAAAGAUGGAAUCACUUCUAAUUUUUAGGUCCGUAUGAUUUGAAAUACAUGCACACAAACCCCAAGAAAGCGUUCCUGGAAAUCUCGCCCCGAAAAACGACGUUUAGUAAUUCUAAAAGGGACUACAGGAUGAAAAACAAUACUUUUGGCAGUUAAAGUUUGAGAUUCGACGGUGCCGUAGAUCUGUUUGGUCAUCAGGUGUAACGAGCCACACCCAUGUCUAGCUAGAGUAGUGUGCUAGGCUCAGACUAGAGAAGAAACGGGGAACAAAGUGAUGAAAGAAUGAUCAUACCGAGGGAAUUCACUCAGAACUAACAAGAAUGAUAACAUGCUCCGACUGGAGCGGUUUAGGAAGUGCUGGAAGGCUCUAGGGAAAUAAAGAUGGAAUGACUUCUAAUUUUUAGGUCCAUAUCAUUUGAAAUACGUGCACACAAACCCCGAGAAAGCGUUCCUGGAAAUCUCGGCCGAAAAAAGGAUGUUUAAUAAUUCUAAAAGGGACUACAGGAUGAAAAACAAUAGUUUUGGCAGUUAAAGUUUGUGAUUCGAUGGUGCCGUAGAUCUGUUUGGUCAUCAGGUGUUACGAGCCACACCCAUGUCUAGCUAGAACAGUGUGUUAGGCUCAGGCUAGAGCAGAAACGGGGAACAAACUUAUGAAAGAAUGAUCAUACCGAGGGAAUUCACUCAGAACUAACAAGAAUGAUAACGUGCUCCAACUGGAGCGGUUUAGGAACUGCUGGAAGGCUCUAGGGGAAUAAAGAUGGAAUGACUUCAAAUUUUUAGGUCCGUAUGAUUUGAAAUACUUGCACACAAACCGCUAGAAAGCGUUCCUGGAAAUCUCAGCCCAAAAAAGGACGUUUAGUAAUUCUAAAAGGGACUACAGGAUGAAAAACAAUAGUUCUGGCAGUUAAAGUUUGAGCUUCGAUAAUGUCGUAGAUCCGUUUGGUCAUCAGGUGUAACGAGCCACACCCAUUUCUAGCUAGAGUAGUGUGCUAGGCUCAGACUAGAGAAGAAAUGGGCAACAAACUAAUGAAAGAAUGAUCAUACCGAGGGAAUUCACUCAGAACUAACAAGAAUGAUAACGUGCUCCGACUGGAGCGGUUUAGGAACUGCUGGAAGGCUCUAGGGGAAUAAAGAAGGAAUGACUUCUAAUUUUUAGGUCCGUAUGAUUUGAAAUGUGUGCACACAAACCCCGAGAAAGCAUUCCUGGAAAUCUCGGCCCAAAAAAGGACGUUUAGUAAUUCUAAAAGGGACUACAGGAUGAAAAACAAUAGUUUUGGCAGUUAAAGUUUGAGAUUCGAUAAUGCCGUAGAUCCGUUUGGUCAUCAGGUGUAACGAGCCACACCCAUGUCUGGUUAGAGUAGUGUGCUAGGCUCAGACUAGAUAAGAAACGGGGAACAAACUGAUGAAAGAAUGAUCAUACCGAGCGAAUUCACUCAGAACUAACAAGAAUGAUAACAUGCUCCGACUGGAGCGGUUUAGGAACUGCUGGAAGGCUCUAGGGGAAUAAAGAUGGAAUGACUUCUAAUUUUUAGGUCCGUAUGAUUUGAAAUACUUGCACACAAACCACGCGAAAGCGUUCCUGGAAAUCUCAGCCCAAAAAAGGACGUUUAGUAAUUCUAAAAGGGACUACAGGAUGAAAAACAAUAGUUUUGGCAGUUAAAGUUUGAGAUUCGACAGUGCCGUAGAUCCGUUUGGUCAUCAGGUAUUACGAGCCACACCCAUGUCUAGCUAGAAUAGUGUGCUAGGCUCAGGCUAGAGAAGAAACGGGGAACAAACUGAUGAAAGAAUGAUCAAACCGAGGGAAUUCACUCAGAACUAACAAUAAUGAUAACGUGCUCCGACUGGUGCGGUUUAGGAACUGCUGGAAGGCUCUAGGGGAAUAAAGAUGGAAUGACUUCUAAUUUUUAGGUCCGUAUGAUUUGAAAUACUUGCACACAAACCGCGCGAAAGCGUUCCUGGAAAUCUCAGCCCAAAAAAGGACGUUUAGUAAUUUUAAAAGGGACUAUAGGAUGAAAAACAAUAGUUUUGGCAAUUAAAGUUUGAGAUUCGACGGUGUCGUAGAUCCGUUUGGUCAUCAGGUGUUACGAGCCACACCCAUGUCUAGCUAGAAUAGUAUGUCAGGCUCAGGUUAGAGUAGAAACGGGGAACAAACUGAUGAAAGAAUGAUCAUACCAAGGGAAUUCACUCAGAACUAUCAAGAAUGAUAACGUGCUCCGACUGGAGUGAUUUAGGAACUGCUGGAAGGCUCUAGGGGAAUAAAGAUGGAAUGACUUCUAAUUUUUACGUCCGUAUGAUUUGAAAUACUUGCACACAAAUCACGCAAAAGCGUUCCUGGAAAUCUCAGCCUAAAAAAGGACGUUUAGUAAUUCUAAAAGGGACUACAGGAUGAAAAACAAUAGUUUGGGCAGUUAAAAUUUGAGAUUCGACGGUGCCGUAGAUCCGUUUGGUCAUCAGGUGUUACGAGCGACACCCUUGUCUAGCUAGAAUAGUGUGUUAGGCUCAGACUAGAGAAGAAACGGGGAACAAAGUGAUGAAAGAAUGAUCAUACCGAGGGAAUUCACUCAGAACUAACAAGAAUGAUAACGUGCUCCGACUGGAGCGGUUUAGUAACUGCUGGAAGGCUCUAGGGGAAUGAAGAUGGAAUGACUUCUAAUUUUUAGGUCCGUAUGAUUUGAAAUACAUGCACACAAACCCUGAGAAAGCGUUCCUGGAAAUCUCGGUCGAAAAAAGGAUGUUUAAUAAUUCUAAAAGGGACUACCGGAUGAAAAACAAUAGUUUUGGCAGUUAAAGUUUGUGAUUCGAUGGUGCCGUAGAUCUGUUUGGUCAUCAGGUGUUACGAGCCACACCCAUGUCUAUCUAGAAUAGUGUGUUAGGCUCAGGCUAGAGCAGAAACGGGGAACAGACUUAUGAAAGAAUGAUCAUACCGAGGGAAUUCACUCAGAACUAACAAGAAUGAUAACGUGCUCCGACUGGCGCGGUUUAGGAACUGCUGGAAGGCUCUAGGGGAAUAAAGAUGGAAAGACUUCUAAUUUUUAGGUCCGUAUGAUUUGAAAUACUUGCACACAAACCGCACGAAAGCGUUCCUGGAAAUCUCAGCCUAAAAAGGAUGUUUAGUAAUUCUAAAAGGGACUACAAGAUGAAAAAUAAUAGUUUGGGCAGUUAAAAUUUGAGAUUCGACGAUGCCGUAGAUCCGUUUGGUCAUCAGGUGUUAUGAGCCACACCCAUGUCUAGCUAGAAUAGUGUGUUAGGCUCAGGCUAGAGAAGAAACGGGGAACAAACUGAUGAAAGAAUGAUCAUACCGAGGGAAUUCACUCAGAACUAACAAGAAUGAUAACGUGCUCCGACUGGAGCAGUUUAGAAACUGCUGGAAGGCUCUAAUGGAAUAAAGAUGGAAUGCCUUCAAAUUUCUAGGUCCGUAUGAUUUGAAAUACUUGCACACAAACCGCUCGAAAGCGUUCCUGGAAAUCUCAGCCCAAAAAAGGACGUUUAGUAAUUCUAAAAGGGACUACAGGAUGAAAAACAAUAGUUUUGGCAGUUAAAGUUUGAGAUUCGAUGGUGCCGUAGAUCCGUUUGGUCAUCAGGUGUAACGAGCCACACACAUGUCUAGCUAGAGUAGUGUGCUAGGCUCAGACUAGAGAAGAAACGGGGAACAAAGUGAUGAAAGAAUGAUCAUACCGAGGGAAUUCACUCAGAACUUACAAGAAUGAUAACGUGCUCCGACUGGAGCGCUUUAGUAACUGCUGGAAGGCUCUAGGCGAAUAAAGAUGGAAUGACUUCUAAUUUUUAGGUCCGUAUGAUUUGAAAUACUUGCACACAAACCACGCAAAACCGUUCCUAGAAAUCUCGGUCGAAAAAAGGACGUUUAGUAAUUCUAAAAGGGACUACAGGAUGAAAAACAAUAGUUUUGGCAGUUAAAGUUUGAGAUUCGAUGGUGCCGUAGAUCCGUUUGGUCAUCAGGUGUUACGAGCCACACCCAUGUCUAGCUAGAGUAGUGUGCUAGGUUCAGACUAGAGAAGAAACGGGGAACAAAGUGAUUAAAGAAUGAUCAUACCGAGGGAAUUCACUCAGAACUAACAAGAAUGAUAACGUGCUCCGACUGGAGCGGUUUAGGAACUGCUGGAAGGCUCUAGGGGAAUAAAGAUGGAAUGACUUCUAAUUUUUACGUCCGUAUGAUUUGAAAUACAUGCACACAAACCACGCAAAAGCGUUCCUGGAAAUCUCAGCCUAAAAAAGGACGUUUAGUAAUUCUAAAAGGGACUACAGGAUGAAAAAUAAUAGUUUGGGCAGUUAAAAUUUGAGAUUCGACGCUGCCGUAGAUCCGUUUGGUCAUCAGGUCUUACGAGCCACACCCAUGUCUAGCUAGAAUAGUGUGUUAGGCUCAGGCUAGAGAAGAAACGGGGAACAAACUGAUGAAAGAAUGAUCAUACCGAGGGAAUUCACUCAGAACUAACAAGAAUGAUAACGUGCUCCGACUGGAGCAGUUUAGAAACUCCUGGAAGGCUCUAGGGGAAUAAAGAUGGAAUGACUUCAAAGUUUUAGGUCCGUAUGAUUUGAAAUACUUGCACACAAACCGCGUGAAAGCGUUCCUGGAAAUCUCAACCCAAAAAAGGGCGUUUAGUAAUUCUAAAAGGGACUACAGGAUGUAAAACAAUAGUUUUGGCAGUUAAAGUUUGAGAUUCGAUGGUGCCGUAGAUCCGUUUGGUCAUCAGGUGUAACGAGCCACACCCAUGUCUAGCUAGAGUAGUGUGCUAGGCUCAGACUAGAGAAGAAACGGGGAACAAAGUGAUGAAAGAAUGAUCAUACCGAGGGAAUUCACUCAUAACUAACAAGAAUGAUAACGUGCUCUGACUUGAGCGGUUUAGGAACUGCUGGAAGGCUAUAGGGGAAUAAAGAUGGAAUGACUUCAAAUUUUUAGGUCCGUAUGAUCUGAAAUACUUGCACACAAACCGCGAGAAAGCGUUCCUGGAAAUCUCAACCCAAAAAAGGACGUUUAGUAAUUCUAAAAGGGACUACAGGAUGAAAAACAAUAGUUCUGGCAGUUAUUGUUUGAGAUUCGAUAAUCUCGUAGAUCCGUUUGGUCAUCAGGUGUAACGAGCCACACCCAUGUCUAGCUAGAGUAGUGUGCUAGGCUCAGACUAGAGAAGAAACGGGGAACAAACUGAUGAAAGAAUGAUCAUACCGAGGGAAUUCACUUAGAACUAACAAGAAUGAUAACGUGCUCCGACUGGAGCGGUUUAGGAACUGCUGGAAGGCUCUAGGGGAAUAAAGAAGGAACGACUUCUAAUUUUUAGGUCCGUAUGAUUUGAAAUAUGUGCACACAAACCACGAGAAAGCGUUCCUAGAAAUCUCGGCCCAAAAGAGGACGUUUAGUAUUCUAAAAGGGACUACAGAAUGAAAAACAAUAGUUUUGGCAGUUAAAGUUUGAGAUUUGACGGUGCCGUAGAUCUGUUUGGUCAUCAGGGGUUACGAGCCACACCCAUGUCUAGCUAGAAUAGUGUGUUAGGCUCAGGCUAGAAAAGAAACGGGGAACAAAGUGAUGAAAGAAUGAUCAUACCGAGGGAAUUCACUCAGAACUAACAAGAAUGAUAACAUGCUCCGACUGGAGCGGUUUAGGAACUGCUGGAAGGCUCUAGGGGAAUAAAGAUGGAAUGACUUCUAAUUUUUAGGUCCGUAUGAUUUGAAAUACUUGCACACAAACCGCGCGAAAGCGUUCCUGGAAAUCUCAGCCCAAAAAAGGACGUUUAGUAAUUCUAAAAGGGACUACAGGAUGAAAAACAAUAGUUUUGGCAGUUAAAGUAUGAGAUUCAACGGUGCCGUAGAUCCGUUUGGUCAUUAGGUGUUACGAGCCACACCCAUGUCUAGCUAGAAUAGUGUGCUAGGCUCAGGCUAGAGAAGAAACGGGGAACAAACUGAUGAAAGAAUGAUCAAACCGAGGGAAUUCACUCAGAACUAACAAUAAUGAUAACGUGCUCCGACUGGAGCGGUUUAGGAACUGCUGGAAGUCUCUAGGGGAAUAAAGAUGGAAUGACUUCUAAUUUUUACGUUCGUAUGAUUUGAAAAACUUGCCCAUAAACCGCGCGAAAGUGUUCCUGGAAAUCUCAGCCCAAAAAAGGACGUUUAGUAAUUUUAAAAGGGACUACACGAUGAAAAACAAUAGUUUUGGCAGGUAAAGUUUGAGAUUCGACAGUGCCGUAGAUCCGUUUGGUCAUCAGGUGUUACGAGCCACACCCAUGUCUAGCUAGAAUAGUAUGUUACGCUCAGGUUAGAGAAGAAACGGGGAACAAACUGAUGAAAGAUGAUCAUACCAAGGGAAUUCACUCAGAACUAACAAGAAUGAUAACGUGCUCCGACUGGAGCGGUUUAGGAACUGCUGGAAGGCUCUAGGGGAAUAAAGAUGGAAUGACUUCUAAUUUUUACGUCUGUAUGAUUUGAAAUACUUGCACACAAACAACGCAAAAGCAUUCCUGGAAAUCUCAUCCUAAAAAAGGACGUUUAGUAAUUCUAAAAGGGACUACAGGAUGAAAAAUAAUAGUUUGGGAAGUUAAAAUUUGAGAUUCGAUAGUGCCGUAGAUCCGUUUGGUCAUCAGGUGUUAGGAGCCACACCCAUGUCUAGCUAGAAUAGUGUGUUAGGCUCAGGCUAGAGAAGAAACAGGGAACAAACUGAUGAAAGAAUGAUCAUACCGAGGGAAUUCACUCAGAACUAGCAAGAAUGAUAACGUGCUCCGACUGGAGCAGUUUUGAAACUGCUGGAAGGCUCUAGGGGAAUAAUGAUGGAAUGACUUCUAAGUUUUUGGUCCGUAUGAUUUGAAAUACGUGCACACAAACCCAGAGAAAGUGUUCUUGGAAAUCUCGGCCGAAAAAAGGAUGUUUAAUAAUUCUAAAAGGGACUACAGGAUGAAAAACAAUAGUUUUGGCAGUUAAAGUUUGUGAUUCGAUGGUGCUGUAGAUCUGUUUGGUCAUCAGGUGUUAUGAGCCACACCCAUGUCUAGCUAGAACAGUGUGUUAGGCUCAGGCUAGAGCAGAAACGGGGAACAAACUUAUGAAAGAAUGAUCAUACCGAGGGAAUUCACUCAGAACUAACAAGAAUGAUAACGUGCUCCGACUGGAGAGGUUUAGGAACUGCUGGAAGGCUCUAGGGGAAUAAAGAUGGAAUGACUUCAAAUUUUUAGGUCUGUAUGAUCUGAAAUACUUGCACACAAACCGCGAGAAAGCGUUCCUGGAAAUCUCAGCCCAAAAAAGGACGUUUAGUGAUUCUAAAAGGGACUACGGGAUAAAAAACAAUAGUUUUGGCAGUUAAAGUUUGAGAUUCGAUAAUGCCGUAGAUCCGUUUGGUCAUCAGGUGUAACGAGCCACACCCAUGUCUAGCUAGAGUAGUGUGCUAGGCUCAUACUAGAGAAGAAAUGGGGAACAAACUGAUGAAAGAAUGAUCAUACCGAGGGAGUUCACUCAAAACUAACAUGAAUGAUAACGUGCUCCGACUGGAGCGGUUUAGGAACUGCUGGAAGGCUCUAGGGGAAUAAAGAUGGAAUGACUUCUAAUUUUUAGGUCCGUAUGAUUUGAAAUACAUGCACACAAACCCCAAGAAAGCGUUCCUGGAAAUCUCGCCCCGAAAAACGACGUUUAGUAAUUCUAAAAGGGACUAUAGGAUGAAAAACAAUAGUUUUGGCAGUUAAAGUUUGAGAUUUGACGGUGCCGUAGAUCUGUUUGGUCAUCAGGUGUUACGAGCCACACCCAUUUCUAGCUAGAAUAGUGUGUUAGGCUCAGGCUAGAAAAGAAACGGGGAACAAAGUGAUGAAAGAAUGAUCAUACCGAGGGAAUUCACUCAGAACUAACAAGAAUGAUAACAUGGUCCGACUGGAGCGGUUUAGGAACUGCUGGAAGGCUCUAGGGGAAUAAAGAUGGAAUGACUUCUAACUUUUAGGUCCGUAUGAUUUGAAUUACUUGCACACAAACCGCGCGAAAGCGUUCCUGGAAAUCUCAGCCCAAAAAAGGACGUUUAGUAAUUCUAAAAGGGACUACAGGAUGAAAAACAAUAGUUUUGGCAGUUAAAGUUUGAGAUUCGACGGUGCCGUAGAUCCGUUUGGUCAGCAGGUGUUACGAGCCACACCCAUGUCUAGCUAGAGUAGUGUGCUAGGUUCAGACUAGAGAAGAAAUGUUGGGGAACGUAGCAGAAAUUCAAAAUUUUCCUACGUGUCACCAAGAUCUAUCUAUGGAGAGACUAGCAACGAGGGAAGGAGAGUGCAUCUACAUACCCUUGUAGAUCGCUAAGCGGAAGCGUUCAAGUGAACGGGGUUGAUGGAGUCGUACUCGUCGUGAUUCAGCUCACCGAUGAUCCUAGUGCCGAACGGACGGCACCUCCGCGUUCAACACACGUACAGCUCGACGAUGUCUCCCACGCCUUGAUCCAGCAAGGAGAGAGGGAGAGGUUGAGGAAGACUCCAUCCAGCAGAAGCACAACGGCGUGGUGGUGAUGGAGGAGCAUGGCAAUCCUGCAGGGCUUCGCCAAGCACCUAUGGGAGAGGAGGAGGUGUCACGGGAGGGAGGGAGGCGCCAAGGGCUCAGGUAUAGAUGCCCUCCCUCCCCUCCACUAUAUAUAGGGGCAAGGGAGAGGGGGGAGGCGCAGCCUUGCCCCUUCCUCCAAGGAAGGGGUGCGGCUAAGAGGGGGGGAGGAGUCCAUCCUCCCCAAGGCACCUCGGAGGUGCCUUCCCCCUUUAGGACUCUCCCCUUUUUCCUAUAUCUUGGCGCAUGGGCCUCUAGGGGCUGGUUCCCUUGGCCCAUGUAGGCCCAGGCGCACCCCCUACAGCCCAUGUGGCCCCCCGGGGCAGGUGGCCCCACCUGGUGGGCCCCCGGGACCCUUCCGGUGGUCCCGGUACAAUACCGAUGACCCCGAAACUUGUCCCGAUGGCCGAAACAGGACUUCCUAUAUAUAAAUCUUUACCUCCGGACAAUUCCGGAACUCCUCGUGACGUCCGGGAUCUCAUCCGGGACUCCGAACAACAUUCGGUAACCACAUACAAACUUCCUUUAUAACCCUAGCGUCAUCGAACCUUAAGUGUGUAGACCCUACGGGUUCGGGAGACAUGUAGUCAUGACCGAGAUGUUCUCCGGUCAAUAACCAACAGCGGGAUCUGGAUACCCAUGUUGGCUCCCACAUGUUCCACGAUGAUCUCAUCGGAUGAACCACGAUGUCAAGGACUCAAUCAAUCCCGUAUACAAUUCCCUUUGUCUAGCGGUAUGGUACUUGCCCGAGAUUCGAUCGUCGGUAUACCGAUACCUUGUUCAAUCUCGUUACCGGCAAGUCUCUUUACUCAUUUCGUAACACAUCAUCCCGUGAUCAACCCCUUGGUCACAUUGUGCACAUUAUGAUGAUGUCCUACCGAGUGGGCCCAGAGAUACCUCUCCGUUUACACGGAGUGACAAAAUCCCAAUCUCGAUUCGUGCCAACCCAACAGACACUUUCAGAGAUACCCGUAGUGUACCUUUACAGCCACCCAGUUACGUUGUGACGUUUGGCACACCCAAAGCACUCCUACAGUAUCCGGGAGUUGCACAAUCUCAUGGUCUAAGGAAAUGAUACUUGACAUUAGAAAAGCUUUAGCAUACGAACUACAUGAUCUUGUGCUAGGCUUAGGAUUGGGUCUUGUCCAUCACAUCAUUCUCCUAAUGAUGUGAUCCCGUUAUCAACGACAUCCAAUGUCCAUGGUCAGGAAACCGUAACCAUCUAUUGAUUAACGAGCUAGUCAACUAGAGGCUUACUAGGGACAUGGUGUUGUCUAUGUAUCCACACAUGUAUCUAAGUUUCCUAUCAAUACAAUUCUAGCAUGGAUAAUAAACGAUUAUCAUGAACAAGGAAAUAUAAUAAUAAUCAAUUUAUUAUUGCCUCUAGGGCAUAUUUCCAACAGUCUCCCACUUGCACUAGAGUCAAUAAUCUAGUUCACAUCGAUAUGUGAUUAACACUCAAGGUCACAUUCCCAUGUGACUAACACCCAAGAGUUUACUAGAGUCAAUAAUCUAGUUCACAUUUACCAUGUGAUUAACACUUGAUGAGUUCUGGGUUUGAUCAUGUUAUGCUUGUGAGAGAGGUUAUAGUCAACGGGUCUGAACCUUUCAGAUCCGUGUGUGCUUUACAAAUCUCUAUGUCAUCUCCUAGAUGCAGCUACCACGUUCUAUUUGGAGCUAUUCCAAAUAACUGUUCUACUUGGAGCUAUUCUAAAUUGUUGCUCCAUUAUACGUAUCCGGUAUCUCUACUCAGAGCUAUCCGGAUAGGUGUUAAGCUUGCAUCGACGUAACCCUUUACGACGAACUCUUUUACCACCUCCAUAAUUGAGAAAAUUCCUUAGUCCACUAGUUACUAAGGAUAACUUUGACCGCUGUCCUGUGAUCCAUUCUUGGAUCACUCUUGUACCCCUUGACUGACUCAUGGUAAAGCACACUUCAGGUGCGGUACACAGCAUAGCAUACUGUAGAGCCUAUGUCUUAAGCAUAGGGGACGACCUUCGUUCCUUUCUCUCUAUUCUGCCAUGGUCGAGCUUUAAGUCUUAACUUCAUACCUUACAACUCAGGCAAGAACUCCUUCUUUGACUGAUCCAUCUUGAACACCUUCAAGAUCACGUCAAGGCAUGUGCUCACGUCAAGAUCACGUCGGUAUACCGAUACCUUGUUCAAUCUCGUUACCGGCAAGUCUCUUUACUCGUUCCGUAACACAUCAUCCCGUGAUCAACCCCUUGGUCACAUUGUGCACAUUAUGAUGAUGUCCUACCGAGUGGGCCCAGAGAUACCUCUCCGUUUACACGGAGUGACAAAAUCCCAAUCUCGAUUCGUGCCAACCCAACAGACACUUUCAGAGAUACCCGUAGUGUACCUUUAUAGCCACCCAGUUACGUUGUGACGUUUGGCACACCCAAAGCACUCCUACGGUAUCCGGGAGUUGCACAAUCUCAUGGUCUAAGGAAAUGAUACUUGACAUUAGAAAAGCUUUAGCAUACGAACUACAUGAUCUUGUGCUAGGCUUAGGAUUGGGUCUUGUCCAUCACAUCAUUCUCCUAAUGAUGUGAUCCCGUUAUCAACGACAUCCAAUGUCCAUGGUCAGGAAACCGUAACCAUCUAUUGAUUAACGAGCCAGUCAACUAGAGGCUUACUAGGGACAUGGUGUUGUCUAUGUAUCCACACAUGUAUCUGAGUUUCCUAUCAAUACAAUUCUAGCAUGGAUAAUAAACGAUUAUCAUGAACAAGGAAAUAUAAUAAUAAUCAAUUUAUUAUUGCCUCUAGGGCAUAUUUCCAACAGUCUCCCACUUGCACUAGAGUCAAUAAUCUAGUUCACAUCACCAUGUGAUUAACACUGACAGGUCACAUCACCAUGUGACCAACAUCCAAAGAGUCUUGGGUUUGAUCAUGUUGCUUGUGAGAGAGGUUAUAGUCAACGGGUCUGAACCUUUCAGAUCCGUGUGUGCUUUACAAAUCUCUAUGUCAUCUCCUAGAUGCAGCUACCACGUUCUAUUUGGAGCUAUUCCAAAUAACUGUUCUACUUGGAGCUAUUCUAAAUUGUUGCUCCAUUAUACGUAUCCGGUAUCUCUACUCAGAGCUAUCCGGAUAGGUGUUAAGCUUGCAUCGACGUAACCCUUUACGACGAACUCUUUUACCACCUCCAUAAUUGAGAAAAUUCCUUAGUCCACUAGUUACUAAGGAUAACUUUGACCGCUGUCCUGCGAUCCAUUCUUGGAUCACCCUUGUACCCCUUGACUGACUCAUGGUAAAGCACACUUCAGGUGCGGUACACAGCAUAGCAUACUGUAGAGCCUAUGUCUUAAGCAUAGGGGAUGACCUUCGUUCCUUUCUCUCUAUUCUGCCAUGGUCGAGCUUUAAGUCUUAACUUCAUACCUUACAACUCAGGCAAGAACUCCUUCUUUGACUGGUCCAUCUUGAACACCUUCAAGAUCAUGUCAAGGUAUGUGCUCAUUUGAAAGUACUAUUAAGCGUUUUGAUCUAUCCUUAUAGAUCUUGAUGCUCAAUGUUCAAGUAGCUUAAUCCAGGUUUUCCAUUGAAAACACUUUCCAAAUAACCCUAUAUGCUUUCCAGAAAUUCUACGUCAUUUCUGAUCAUUAAUAUGUCAACAACAUAUAAUCAUCAGAAAUUCUAUAGUGCUCCCACUCACUUCUUUGGAAAUACAAGUUUCUCAUAAACUUUGUAUACACCCAAAAUCUUUGAUCAUCAUCAAAGCAUACAUUCCAACUCCGAGAUGCUCACUCCAGUCCUCAGAAGGAUUGCUGGAGCUUUGCAUACUUAUUAGCAUAUUUCAGGAUAGACAAAACCUUCCAGUUGUAUCACAUACAACCUUUCCUCAAGAAUCGUCGACGAAACAAUGUUUUGACAUCCUAUCUGCAAGAUUUCAUAAAUAAUGCAGUAAUUGUUAAUAUAAUUCCAACAGACUCUUAGCAUCGCUACGAGUGAGAAAGUCUCAUUGUAGUCAACUCCUUGAACUUGUCAAAAAACAUCUUAACGACAAGUCGAGCUUUCUCAAUGGUGACACUUACCAUCAUUGUCUGUCUUCCUUUCAAAAUCCAUAUGUACCUAACAGCCUUACGACCAUCAAGUAGUUCUUCCAAAGUCUACACUUUGUUUUCAUACAUGGAUCCUCUCUCGGGUUUUAUGGCCAUGAGCCAUUUAUCGGAAUCCGGGCCCACCAUUGCUUCUCCAUAGCUCGUAGGUUCAUUGUUGUCUAGCAACAUGACUUCCAAGACAGGAUUACUGUACCACUCUGAAGUAGUACGUAUCCUUGUCACCCUACGAGGUUUGGGAGUGACUUGAUCUGAAGUUUCAUGAUCACUAUCAUAAGCUUCUACUUCAAUUGGUGUAGGUGCCACAGGAACAACUUCCUGUGCCCUGCUACACACUGGUUGAAGUGAUGGUUCAAUAACCUCAUCAAGUCUCCACCAUCCUCCCACUCAAUUCUUUCGAGAGAAACCUUUCCUCGAGAAAGGACCCAAUUCUAGAAACAAUUCAUAUUGCUUUCGGAUCUGAAUUAGGAAGUAUACCCAACUGUUUUGGGUGUCCUAUGAAGAUGUACUUUAUCCGCUUUGGUUUCGAGCUUAAUCCUGAAACUUUUUCACAUAAGUGUCGCAGCCCCAAACCUUUAAGAAACGACAACUUAGGUUUCUCUAAACCAUAAUUCAUACGGUGUCAUCUCAUCGGAAUUACGUGGUGCCCUAUUUAAAGUGAAUGUGGUUGUCUUUAAUGCCUAACCCAUAAACUAUCGUGGCAGUUCGAUAAGAGACAUCAUGGUAUGCAUCAUAUCCAAUAGGGUGCAACUAUGAUGUUCGGACACACCAUCACACUAUGGUGUUCCAGGCGGUAUUAAUUGUGAAACAAUUUCCACAAUGUCUUAAUUGUGUGCCAAAACUCGUAACUCAGAUACUCAUCUCUAUGAUCAUAUCAUAGACAUUUUAUCCUCUUGUCACAAUGAUCUUCUACUUCACUCUGAAAUUACUUGAACCAUUCAACAAUUCAGACUUGUGUUUCAUCAAGUAAAUAUUCUCAACAUCUACUCGAAUCAUCUGUGAAGUAAGAACAUAACGAUAUUCACUGCAUGCCUCAGCACUCAUUGGACUGCACACAUCAAAAUGUGUUACUUCCAACAAGUUGCUAUCUUGUUCCAUCUUACUGAAAACGAGGCUUUUCAGUCAUCUUGCCCAUGUGGUAUGAUUUGCAUGUCCCAAGUGAUUCAAAAAUCAAGUGAGUCAAAACGGUCCAUUUGCAUGGAGUUUCUUCAUGCAUAUACACCAAUAGACAUGGUUCGCAUGUCUCAAACUUUUCAAAAACGAGUGAGCCCAAAGAUCCAUCAAUAUGGAGCUUCUUCAUGCGUUUUAUACCGAUAUGACUUACGUGGUAGUGCCACAAGUAGGUGGUACUAUCAUUACUAUCUUUUGGCAUGAACAUGUGUAUCACUACGAUCGAGAUUUAAUAAACCAUUCAUUUUAGGUGUAAGACCAUUGAAGGUAUUAUUCAAAUAAACAGAGUAACCAUUAUUCUCCUUAAAUGAAUAACCGUAUUGCGAUAGACGUAAUCCAAUCAUGUCUAUGCUCAACGCAAACACCAAAUAACAAUUAUUUAGGUUUAACACCAAUCUCUUUGGUAGAGGGAGCGUGCGAUGCUUGAUCAUAUCAAGCAUGGAAAAACUUACAACACAUAUCGUCAGCUCACCUUUAGCUAGUCUCUGUUUAUUCCGUAGCCUUUUGUUUCGAGUUACUAACACUUAGCAACCGAACUGGUAUCUAAUACCCUGGUGCUACUAGGAGUACUAGCAAAGUACACAUUAACACAAUGUAUAUCCAAUAUACUUCUAUCGACCUUGCCAGCCUUCUUAUCUACCAAGUAUCUAGGGUAAUUCUGCUCUAGUAGUUGUUCCCCUUAUUACAGAAGCACUUAGUCUCGGGUUUGGGUUUUACCUUGGGUUUCUUCACUAGAGCAGCAGCUGAUUUGCCGUUUCAUGAAGUAUCCCUUCUUGCCCUUGCCCUUCUUGAAACUAGUGGUUCCACCAACCAUCAACAAUUGAUGCUCCUUCUUGAUUUCUACUUUCGCGGUGUCAAACAUCGCGAAUACCUCAAGGAUCAUCAUAUCUAUCCCUGAUAUGUUAUAGUUCAUCAUGAAGCUCUAACAGCUUGGUGGCAAUGACUUUGGAGAACCAUCACUAUCUCAUCUGGAAGAUCAACUCCCACUCGAUUCAAGCGAUUGUUGUACUCAGACAAUCUGAGCACAAGCUCAACGAUUGAGCUUUUCUCCCUUAGUUUGCAGGUUAAGAAAGUCAUCGGAGGUCUUAUACCUCUUGACAUGGGCACGAGCCUGAAAUCCCAAUUUCAGCCCUCAAAACAUCUCAUAUGUUUCGCGAUGUUUCAAAAACGUCUUUGGUGCCUCAACUCUAAACCGUUUAACUGAACUAUCACGUAGUUAUCAAAACGUGUAUGUCAGAUGUUCGCAACAACCACAGACAACGUUCGAGGUUCAGCACACUGAGCGGUGCAUUAAGGACAUAAGCCUUCUAUGAAGCAAUGAGGACAAUCCUCAGUUUACGGACCUAGUCCGCAUAAUUGCUACUAUCAACUUUCAACUAAUUUUUCUCUAGGAACAUAUCUAAACAGUAGAACUAUAGCGUGAGCUACGACAUAAUUUGCAAAAACCUUUUGACUAUGUUCAGGAUAAUUAAGUUCAUCUUAUGAACUCCCACUCAGAUAGACAUCCCUCUAGUCAUCUAAGUGAUUACAUGAUCCGAGUCAAACUAGGCCGUGUCCGAUCAUCACGUGAGACGGACUAGUCAUCAUCGGUGAACAUCUUCAUGUUGAUCGUAUCUUCUAUACGACUCAUGUUCGACCUUUCGGUCUUCGUGUUCCGAGGCCAUGUAUGUACAUGCUAGGCUCGUCAAGUUAACCCUAAGUGUUUCGCGUGUGUAAAUCUGUCUUACACCCGUUGUAUGUGAACGUUAGAAUCUAACACCCGAUCAUCACGUGGUGCUUCGAAACACGAACUGUCGCAACGGUGCACAGUUAGGGGAGAACACUUCUUGAAAUUGUUGUAAGGGAUCAUCUUAUUUACUACCGUCGUUCUAAGCAAAUAAGAUGUAUAAACAUGAUAAACAUCACAUGCAAUCAAAUAGUGACAUGAUAUGGCCAUCAUCACUUUGCUCCUUUUGAUCUCCAUCUUCGGGGCUCCAUGAUCAUCAUCGUCACCGGCAUGACACCAUGAUCUCCAUCAUCAUGAUCUCCAUCAUCGUGUCUUCAUGAAGUUGCCUCGCCAACUAUUACUUCUACUACUAUGGCUAACGGUUAGCAAUAAAGUAAAGUAAUUACAUGACGUUUAAGUUGACACGCAGGUCACAAAUGAAUAAAGACAACUCCUAUGGCUCCUGCCGGUUGUCAUACUCAUCGACAUGCAAGUCGUGAUUCCUAUUACAAGAACAUGAUCAAUCUCAUACAUCACAUAUAUCAUUCAUCACAUCCUUUUUGGCCAUAUCACAUCACAUAGCAUACCCUGCAAAAACAAGUUAGACGUCCUCUAAUUGUUGUUUGCAUGUUUUACGUGGCUGCUAUGGGUUUCUAGCAAGAACGUUUCUUACCUACGCAUGAACAACAACGUGAUAUGCCAAUUGCUAUUUACCCUUCAUAAGGACCCUUUUCAUCGAAUCCGAUCCGACUAAAGUGGGAGAGACAGACACCCGCCAGCCACCUUAUGCAACUAGUGCAUGUUUGUCGGUGGAACCGGUCUCACGUAAGCGUACGUGUAAGGUUGGUCCGGGCCGCUUCAUCCCACGAUGCCGCCGAAUCAAGAUAAGACUAGUAACGGCAAGCAUAUUGAACAAUAUCAACGCCCACAACUACUUUGUGUUCUACUCGUGCAAAGAAUCUACGCAAUAGACCUAGCUCAUGAUGCCACUGUUGGGGAACGUAGCAGAAAUUCAAAAUUUUCCUACGUGUCACCAAGAUCUAUCUAUGGAGAUACUAGCAACGAGGGAAGGAGAGUGCAUCUACAUACCCUUGUAGAUCGCUAAGCGGAAGCGUUCAAGUGAACGGGGUUGAUGGAGUCGUACUCGUCGUGAUUCAGAUCACCGAUGAUCCUAGUGCCGAACGGACGGCACCUCCGCGUUCAACACACGUACAGCUCGACGAUGUCUCCCACGCCUUGAUCCAGCAAGGAGAGAGGGAGAGGUUGAGGAAGACUCCAUCCAGCAGCAGCACAACGGCGUGGUGGUGAUGGAGGAGCGUGGCAAUCCUGCAGGGCUUCGCCAAGCACCUACGGGAGAGGAGGAGGUGUCACGGGAGGGAGGGAGGCGCCAAGGGCUCAGGUAUAGAUGCCCUCCCUCCCCUCCACUAUAUAUAGGGGCAAGGGAGAGGGGGAGGCGCAUCCUUGCCCCUUCCUCCAAGGAAGGGGUGCGGCUAAGAGGGGGGGAGGAGUCCAUCCUCCCCAAGGCACCUCGGAGGUGCCUUCCCCCUUUAGGACUCUCCCCUUUUUCCUAUAUCUUGGCGCAUGGGCCUCUAGGGGCUGGUGCCCUUGGCCCAUGUAGGCCAAGGCGCACCCCCCUACAGCCCAUGUGGCCCCCCGGGGCAGGUGGCCCCACCCGGUGGGCCCCCGGGACCCUUCCGGUGGUCCCGGUACAAUACCGAUGACCCCGAAACUUGUCCCGAUGGCCGAAACAGGACUUCCUAUAUAUAAAUCUUUACCUCCGGACCAUUCCGGAACUCCUCGUGACGUCCGGGAUCUCAUCCGGGACUCCGAACAACAUUCGGUAACCACAUACAAACUUCCUUUAUAACCCUAGCGUCAUCGAACCUUAAGUGUGUAGACCCUACGGGUUCGGGAGACAUGUAGUCAUGACCGAGAUGUUCUCCGGUCAAUAACCAACAGCGGGAUCUGGAUACCCAUGUUGGCUCGCACAUGUUCCACGAUGAUCUCAUCGGAUGAACCACGAUGUCAAGGACUCAAUCAAUCCCGUAUACAAUUCCCUUUGUCUAGCGGUAUGGUACUUGCCCGAGAUUCGAUCGUCGGUAUACCGAUACCUUGUUCAAUCUCGUUACCGGCAAGCCUCUUUACUCGUUCCGUAACACAUCAUCCCGUGAUCAACCCCUUGGUCACAUUGUGCACAUUAUGAUGAUGUCCUACCGAGUGGGCCCAGAGAUACCUCUCCGUUUACACGGAGUGACAAAAUCCCAAUCUCGAUUCGUGCCAACCCAACAGACACUUUCAGAGAUACCCGUAGUGUACCUUUAUAGCCACCCAGUUACGUUGUGACGUUUGGCACACCCAAAGCACUCCUACGGUAUCCGGGAGUUGCACAAUCUCAUGGUCUAAGGAAAUGAUACUUGACAUUAGAAAAGCUUUAGCAUACGAACUACAUGAUCUUGUGCUAGGCUUAGNNNNNNNNNNUGAUCAACCCCUUGGUCACAUUGUGCACAUUAUGAUGAUGUCCUACCGAGUGGGCCCAGAGAUACCUCUCCGUUUACACGGAGUGACAAAAUCCCAAUCUCGAUUCGUGCCAACCCAACAGACAUUUUCAGAGAUACCCGUAGUGUACCUUUAUAGCCACCCAGUUACGUUGUGACGUUUGGCACACCCAAAGCACUCCUACGGUAUCCGGGAGUUGCACAAUCUCAUGGUCUAAGGAAAUGAUACUUGACAUUAGAAAAGCUUUAGCAUACGAACUACAUGAUCUUGUGCUAGGCUUAGGAUUGGGUCUUGUCCAUCACAUCAUUCUCCUAAUGAUGUGAUCCCGUUAUCAACGACAUCCAAUGUCCAUGGUCAGGAAACCGUAACCAUCUAUUGAUUAACGAGCUAGUCAACUAGAGGCUUACUAGGGACAUGGUGUUGUCUAUGUAUCCACACAUGUAUCUGAGUUUCCUAUCAAUACAAUUCUAGCAUGGAUAAUAAACGAUUAUCAUGAACAAGGAAAUAUAAUAAUAAUCAAUUUAUUAUUGCCUCUAGGGCAUAUUUCCAACAAGAAACGGGGAACAAACUGAUGAAAGAAUGAUCAUACCGAGGGAAUUCACUCAGAACUAACAAGAAUGAUAACGUGCUUUGACUGGAGCGGUUUAAAAACUGCUGGAAGGCUCUAGGGGAAUAAAGAUGGAAUGCCUUCAAAUUUCUAGGUCCGUAUGAUUUGAAAUACUUGCACACAAACCGCGCGAAAGCGUUCCUGGAAAUCUCAGCCCAAAAAAGGACGUUUAGUAAUUCUAAAAGGGACUACAGAAUGAAAAACAAUAGUUUUGGCAGUUAAAGUUUGAGAUUCGAUGGUGCCGUAGAUCCGUUUGGUCAUCAGGUGUAACGAGCCACACCCAUGUCUAGCUAGAGUAGUGUGCUAGGCUCAGGCUAGAGAAGAAACGGGGAACAAACUGAUGAAAGAAUGAUCAUACCGAGGGAAUUCACUCAGAACUAACAAGAAUGAUAACGUGCUCCGACUGGAGCGGUUUAGGAACUGCUGGAAGGCUCUAGGGGAAGAAAGAAGGAAUGACUUCUAAUUUUUAGGUCCGUAUGAUUUGAAAUACGUGCACACAAACCGCGCGAAAGCGUUCCUGGAAAUCUCAGCCCAAAAAAGGACGUUUAGUAUUCUAAAAGGGACUACAGAAUGAAAAACAAUAGUUUUGGCAGUUAAAGUUUGAGAUUCGACGGUGCCGUAGAUCCGUUUGGUCAUCAGGUGUUACGAGCCACACCCAUGUCUAGCUAGAAUAGUGUGCNNNNNNNNNNNNNNNNNNNNNNNNNCGUAUGAUUUGAAAUACGUGCACACAAACCGCGCGAAAGCGUUCCUGGAAAUCUCAGCCCAAAAAAGGACGUUUAGUAUUCUAAAAGGGACUACAGAAUGAAAAACAAUAGUUUUGGCAGUUAAAGUUUGAGAUUCGACGGUGCUGUAGAUCCGUUUGGUCAUCAGGUGUUACGAGCCACACCCAUGUCUAGCUAGAAUAGUGUGCUAGGCUCAGGCUAGAGAAGAAAAGGGGAACAAACUAAUGAAAGAAUGAUCAAUACGAGGGAAUUCACUCAGAACUAACAAUAAUGAUAACGUGCUCCGACUGGAGCGGUUUAGGAACUGCUGGAAGGCUCUAGGCGAAUAAAGAUGGAAUGACUUCUAAUUUUUACGUCCGUAUGAUUUGAAAUACUUGCACACAAACCACGCAAAAGCGUUCCUGGAAAUCUCGGCCUAAAAAGGACGUUUAGUAAUUCUAAAAGGGACUACAGGAUGAAAAAUAAUAGUUUGGGCAGUUAAAAUUUGAGAUUCGACGGUGCCGUAGAUCCGUUUGGUCAUCAGGUGUUACGAGCCACACCCAUGUCUAGCUAGAAUAGUGUGUUAGGCUCAGGCUAGAGAAGAAACGAGGAACAAACUGAUGAAAGAAUGAUCAUACCAAGGGAAUUCACUCAGAACUAACAAGAAUGAUAACGUGCUCCGACUGGAGCAGUUUAGAAACUGCUGGAAGGCUCUAGGGGAAUAAAGAUGGAAUGACUUCUGAUUUUUAGGUCCGUAUGAUUUGAAAUACGUGCACACAAACCCCGCGAAAGCGUUCCUGGAAAUCUCAGCCCAAAAAAGGACGUUUAGUAAUUCUAAAAGGGACUACAACAUGAAAAACAAUAGUUUUGGCAGUUAAAGUUUGAGAUUUCAUGGUGCCGUAGAUCUGUUUGGUCAUCAGGUGUUACGAGCCACACCCAUGUCUAGCUAGAAUAGUGUGUUAGGCUCAGGCUAGAAAAGAAACGGGAAACAAAGUGAUGAAAGAAUGACCAUACCGAGGGAAUUCACUCAGAACUAACAAGAAUGAUAACAUGCUCCGACUUGAGCGGUUUAGGAACUGCUGGAAGGCUCUAGGGGAAUAAAGAUGGAAUGACUUCUAAUGUUUAGGUCCGUAUGAUUUGAAAUACUUGCACAUAAACCGCACAAAAGCGUUCCUGGAAAUCUCAGCCCAAAAAAGGACGUUUAGUAAUUCUAAAAGGGACUACAGGAUGAAAAACAAUAGUUUUGGCAGUUAAAGUUUGAGAUUCGACGGUGCCGUAGAUCCGUUUGGUCAUCAGGUGUUACGAGCCACACCCAUGUCUAGCUAGAAUAGUGUGUUAGGCUCAGGCUAGAGAAGAAACUUGGAACAAACUGAUGAAAGAAUGAUCAAACCAACGGAAUUCACUCAGAACUAACAAUAAUGAUAACGUGCUCCGACUGGAGCAGUUUAGGAACUGCUGGAAGGCUCUAGGGGAAUAAAGAUGGAAUGACUUCUAAUUUUUAGGUCCGUAUGAUUUGAAAUACUUGCACGCAAACCGCGCGAAAGCGUUCCUGGAAAUAUCAGCCCAAAAAAGGACGUUUAGUAAUUCUAAAAGGGACUACAGGAUGAAAACAAUAGUUUUGGCAGUUAAAGUUUGAGAUUCAACAGUGCCGUAGAUCCGUUUGGUCAUCAGGUGUUAUGAGCCAUACCCAUGUCUAGCUAGAGUAGUGUGCUAGGCUCAGGCUAGAGAAGAAACAGGGAACAAACUGAUGAAAGAAUGAUCAUACCGAGGGAAUUCACUCAGAACUAACAAGAAUGAUAACGUGCUCCGACUGGAGCGGUUUAGGAACUGCUGGAAGGCUCUAGGGGAAUAAAGAUGGAGUGACUUCUAAAUUUUUAGGUCCGUAUGAUUUAAAAUACUUGCACACAAACCGCACGAAAGCGUUCCUUGAAAUCUCAGCCCAAAAAAGGACGUUUAGUAAGUCUAAAAGGGACUAUAGGAUGAAAAACAAUAGUUUUGGCAGUUAAAGUUUGAGAUUCGAUGGUGCCGUAGAUCUGUUUGGUCAUCAGGUGUUACGAGCCACACCCAUGUCUAGUUGGAAUAGUGUGCUAGGCUCAGACUAGAGAAGAAACAGGGAACAAACUGAUGAAAGAAUGAUCAAACCGAGGAAAUUCACUCAGAACUAACAAUAAUGAUAACAUGCUCCGACUGGAGCGGUUUAGGAACUGCUGGAAGGCUCUAGGGGAAUAAAGAUGGAAUGACUUCUAAAUUUUUAGGUCCGUAUGAUUUGAAAUAGUUGCACACAAACUGCGCGAAAGCGUUCCUGGAAAUCUCAGCCCAAAAAAGGACGUUUAGUAAUUCUAAAAGGGACUAUAGGAUGAAAAACAAUAGUUUUGGCAGUUAAAGUUUGAGAUUCGACGGUGCCGUAGAUCCGUUUGGUCAUCACGUGUUACAAGCCACACCCAUGUCUAGCUAGAGUAGUGUGCUAGGCUCAGACUAUAGAAGAAACGGGGACCAAACUGAUGAAAGAAUGAUCAAACCGAGGAAAUUCACUCAGAACUAACAAUAAUGAUAACAUGCUCCGACUGGAGCGGUUUAGGAACUACUGGAAGGCUCUAGGGGAAUAAAGAUGGAAUGACUUCUAAAUUUUUAGGUCCGUAUGAUUUUAAAUAGUUGCACACAAACUGCGCGAAAGCGUUCCUGGAAAUCUCAGCCCAAAAAAGGACGUUUAGUAAUUCUAAAAGGGACUACAGGAUGAAAAACAAUAGUUUGGGCAGUUAAAAUUUGAGAUUCGACGGUGCCGUAGAUCCGUUUGGUCAUCAGGUGUUACGAGCCACACCCAUGUCUAGCUAGAGUAGUGUGCUAGGCUCAGGCUAGAGAAGAAACAGGGAACAAACUGAUGAAAGAAUGAUCAUACCGAGGGAAUUCACUCAGAACUAACAAGAAUGAUAACGUGCUCUGACUGGAGCGGUUUAAGAACUGUUGGAAGGCUCUAGGGGAAUAAAGAUGGAAUCACUUCAAAUUUUUACGUCCGUGUGAUUUGAAAUACUUGCACACAAACCGCACGAAAGCGUUCCUGGAAAUCUCAGCCCAAAAAAGGACGUUUAGUAAGUCUAAAAGGGACUACACGAUGAAAAACAAUAGUUUUGGCAGUUAAAGUUUGAGAUUCGACAGUGCCGUAGAUCCGUUUGGUCAUCAGGUGUAACGAGCCACACCCAUGUCUAGAUAGAGUAGUGUGCUAGGCUCAAACUAGAGAAGAAACGGGGAACAAACUGAUGAAAGAAUGAUCAUACCGAGGGAAUUCACUCAGAAAUAACAAGAAUGAUAACGUGCUCUGACUGGAGCGGUUUAGGAACUGCUGGAAGGCUCUAGGGGAAUAAAGAAGGAAUGACUUCUAAUUUUUAGGUCCGUAUGAUUUGAAAUACGUGCACACAAACCCCGAGAAAGCGUUCCUGGAAAUCUCGACCCAAAAAAGGACGUUUAGUAAUUCUAAAAGGGACUACGGGAUGAAAAACAAUAGUUUUGGCAGUUAAAGUUUGAGAUUCGAUAAUGCCGUAGAUCCAUUUGGUCAUCAGGUGUAACGAGCCACACCCAUGUCUAGCUAGAGUAGUGUGCUAGGCUCAGACUAGAGAAGAAACAGGGAACAAACUGAUGAAAGAAUGAUCAUAUCGAGGGAAUUCACUCAGAACUAACAAGAAUGAUAACAUGCUCCGACUUGAGCGGUUUAGGAACUGCUGGAAGGCUCUAGGGGAAUAAAGAUGGAAUGACUUCUAAUUUUUAGGUCCGUAUGAUUUGAAAUACUUACACACAAACCACGCGAAAGCGUUCCUGGAAAUCUCAGCCCAAAAAAGGACGUUUAGUAAUUCUAAAAGGGACUACAUGAUGAAAAACAAUAGUUUUCGCAGUUAAAGUUUGAGAUUCGACGGUGCCGUAGAUCCGUUUGGUCAUCAAGUGUUACGAGCCACACCCAUGUCUAGCUAGAAUAGUGUGUUAGGCUCAGCCUAGAGAAGAAACGGGGAACAAACUGAUGAAAGAAUGAUCAUACCGAGGGAAUUCACUCAGAACUUACAAGAAUGAUAACGUGCUCCGACUUGAGCGGUUUAAGAACUGUUGGAAGGCUCUAGGGGAAUAAAGAUGGAAUCACUUCAAAUUUUUACGUCCGUGUGAUUUGAAAUACUUGCACACAAACCCCGAGAAAGCGUUCCUGGAAAUCUCGGCCGAAAAAAGGAUGUUUAAUAAUUCUAAAAGGGACUACAGGAUGAAAAACAAUAGCUUUGGCAGUUAAAGUUUGUGAUUCGAUGGUGCCGUAGAUCUGUUUGGUCAUCAGGUGUUAUGAGCCACACCCAUGUCUAGCUAGAAUAGUGUGUUAGGCUCAGGCUAGAGCAGAAACUAGGAACAAACUUAUGAAAGAAUGAUCAUACCGAGGGAAUUCACUCAGAACUAACAAGAAUGAUAACGUGCUCCGACUGGAGCGGUUUAGGAACUGCUGGAAGGCUCUAGGGGAAUAAAGAUGGAAUGACUUCUAAUUUUUAGGUCCGUAUGAUUUGAAAUACAUGCACACAAACCCCAAGAAAGCGUUCCUAGAAAUCUCAGCCCAAAAAGGACGUUUAGUAAUUCUAAAAGGGACUACAGGAUGAAAAACAAUAGGUUUGGCAGUUAAAGUUUGAGAUUCGAUAAUGCCGUAGAUCCGUUUGGUCAUCAGGUGUAACGAGCCACACCCAUGUCUAGCUACAUUAGUGUGCUAGGCUCAGACUAGAGAAGAAACGGGGAACAAACUGAUGAAAGAAUGAUCAUACCGAGGGAAUUCACUCAGAACUAACAAGAACGAUAACAUGCUCCGACUGCAGCGGUUUAGGAACUGCUGGAAGGCUCUAGGGGAAUAAAGAAGGAAUGACUUCUAAUUUUUAGGUCCGUAUGAUUUGAAAUACUUGCACACAAACCGCGCGAAAGCAUUCCUGGAAAUCUCAGCCCAAAAAAGGACGUUUAGUAAUUCUAAAAGGGACUACAGGAUGAAAAACAAUAAUUUUGGCAGUUAAAGUUUGAGAUUCGACGGUGCCGUAGAUCCGUUUGGUCAUCAGGUGUUACGGGCCAUACCCAUGUCUAGCUAGAAUAGUGUGUUAGGCUCAGGUUAGAGAAGAAACGGGGAACAAAGUGAUGAAAGAAUGAUCAUACCGAGGGAAUUCACUCAGAACUAACAAGAAUGAUAACGUGCUCCGACUGGAGCGGUUUAGGAAUUGCUGGAAGGCUCUAGGGGAAUAAAGAUGGAAUGACUUCUAUAUUUUACGUCCGUAUGAUUUGAAAUACUUGCACACAAACCACGCAAAAGCACUCCUGGAAAUAUCAGCCUAAAAAGGAUGUUUAGUAAUUCUAAAAGGGACUACAGGAUGAAAAAUAAUAGUUUUGGCAGUUAAAAUUUGAGAUUCAACGGUGCCGUAAAUCCGUUUGGUCAUCAGGUGUUACGAGCCACACCCAUGUCUAGCUAGAAUAGUGUGUUAGGCUCAGGUUAGAGAAGAAACGGGGAACAAACUGAUGAAAGAAUGAUCAUACAAGGGGAAUUCACUCAGAACUAUCAAGAAUGAUAACGUGCUCCGACUGGAGCAGUUUAGGAACUGCCGGAAGGCUCUAGGGGAAUAAAGAUGGAAUGACUUCUAAUUUUUAUGUCCGUAUGAUUUGAAAUACUUGCACACAAACCACGCAAAAGCGUUCCUGGAAAUCUCAGCCUAAAAAGGACGUUUAGUAAUUCUAAAAGGGACUACAGGAUGAAAAACAAUAGUUUGGGCAGUUAAAAUUCGAGAUUCGACGGUGCCGUAGAUCCGUUUGGUCAUCAGGUGUUACGAGCCACACCCAUGUCUAGCUAGAAUAGUGUGUUAGGCUCAGGCUAGAGAAGAAACGGGGAACAAACUGAUGAAAGAAUGAUCAUAUCGAGGGAAUUCACUCAGAACUAACAAGAAUGAUAACGUGCUCCGACUGGAGCGGUUUAGUAACUGCUGGAAGGCUCUAGGGGAAUAAAGAUGGAAUGACUUCUAAUUAUUAGGUCCGUAAGAUUUGAAUUACAUGCACACAAACCCCGAGAAAGCGUUCCUGGAAAUCUCGGUCGAAAAAAGGAUGUUUAGUAAUUCUAAAAGGGACUACAGGAUGAAAAACAAUAGUUUUGGCAGUUAAAGUUUGUGAUUCGAUGGUGCCGUAGAUCUGUUUGGUCAUCAGGUGUUACGAGCCACACCCAUGUCUAGCUAGAAUAGUGUGUUAGGCUCAGGCUAGAGCAGAAACGGGGAACAAACUUAUGAAAGAAUGAUCAUGCCGAGGGAAUUCACUCAGAACUAACAAGAAUGAUAACGUGCUCCGACUGGAGCGGUUUAGGAACUGCUGGAAGGCUCUAGGGGAAUAAAGAUGGAAUGACAUCAAAUUUUUAGGUCCGUAUGAUUUGAAAUACUUGCACACAAACCGCAAGAAAGCGUUCUUGGAAAUCUCCGCCCAAAAAAGGACGUUUAGUAAUUCUAAAAGGGUCUACAGGAUGAAAAACAAUAGUUCUGGCAGUUAAAGUUUGAGAUUCGAUAAUGUCGUAGAUCCGUUUGGUCAUCAGGCGUAACGAGCCACACCCAUUUCUAGCUAGAGUAGUGUGCUAGGCUCAGACUAGAGAAGAAACGGGGAACAACCUGAUGAAAGAAUGAUCAUACCGAGGGAAUUCACUCAGAACUAACAAGAAUGAUAACGUGCUCCGACUGGAGCGGUUUAGGAACUGCUGGAAGGCUCUACGGGAAUAAAGAAGGAAUGACUUCUAAUUUUUAGGUCCGUAUGAUUUGAAAUACGUGCACACAAACCCCGAGAAAGCGUUCCUGGAAAUCUCGGCCCAAAAAAGGACGUUUAGUAUUCUAAAAGCGACUACAGAAUGAAAAACAAUAGUUUUGGUAGUUAAAGUUUGAGAUUUAACGGUGCCGUAGAUCUGUUUGGUCAUCAGGUGUUACGAGCCACACCCAUGUCUAGCUAGAAUAGUGUGUUAGGCUCAGGCUAGAUAAGAAACAGGGAACAAAGUGAUGAAAGAAUGAUCAUACCAAGGGAAUUCACUCAGAACUAACAAGAACGAUAACAUGCUCCGACUGGAGUGGUUUAGGAACUGCUGGAAGGCUCUAGGGGAAUAAAGAUGGAAUGACUUCUAAUUUUUAGGUCUGUAUGAUUUGAAAUACUUGCACACAAACCGCACGAAAGCGUUCCUGGAAAUCUCAUCCCAAAAAAGGACGUUUAGUAAUUCUAAAAGGGACUACAGGAUGAAAAACAAUAGUUUUGGCAGUUAAAGUUUGAGAUUCGAUAAUGCUGUAGAUCCGUUUGGUCAUCAGGUGUAACGAGCCACACCCAUGUCUAGCUAGAGUAGUGUGCUAGGCUCAGACUAGAGAAGAAACGGGGAACAAACUGAUGAAAGAAUGAUCAUACCGAGGGAAUUCACUCAGAACUAACAAUAAUGAUAACGUGCUCCGACUGGAGCGGUUUAGGAACUGCUGGAAGGCUCUAGGGGAAUAAAGAUGGAAUGAGUUCUAAUUUUUAGGUCUGUAUGAUUUGAAAUACUUGCACACAAACCGCGUGAAAGCAUUCCUGGAAAUUUCAGCCCAAAAAAGGACGUUUAGUAAUUUUAAAAGGGACUACACGAUGAAAAACAAUAGUUUUGGCAGUUAAAGUUUGAGAUUCGACGGUGCCGUAGAUCCGUUUGGUCAUCAGGUGUUACGAGCCACACCCAUGUCUAGCUAGAAUAGUAUGUUAGGCUCGGGUAAGAGAAGAAACGGGGAACAAACUGAUGAAAGAAUGAUCAUACCAAGGGAAUUCACUCAGAACUAACAAGAAUGAUAACGUGCUCCGACUGGAGCGGUUUAGGAACUGCUGGAAGGCUCUAGGGGAAUAAAGAUGGAAUGACUUCUAAUUUUUACGUUCGUAUGAUUUGAAAUACUUGCACACAAACCACGCAAAAGCGUUCCUGGAAAUCUCAUCCUAAAAAAGGACGUUUAGUAAUUCUAAAAGGGACUACAGGAUGAAAAAUAAUAGUUUGGGCAGUUAAAAUUUGAGAUUCGACGGUGCCGUAGAUCCGUUUGGUCAUCAGGUGUUACGAGCCACACCCAUGUCUAGCUAGAAUAGUGUGUUAGGCUCAGGCUAGAGAAGAAACGGGGAACAAACUGAUGAAAGAAUGAUCAUAUCGAGGGAAUUCACUCAGAACUAACAAGAAUGAUAACGUGCUCCGACUGGAGCAGUUUAGAAACUGCUGGAAGGCUCUAGGGGAAUAAAGAUGGAAUGACUUCUAAUUUUUAGGUCUGUAUGAUUUGAAAUACGUGCACACGAACCCCGAGAAAGCGUUCCUGGAAAUCUCGGCCCAAAAAAGGACGUUUAGUAAUUCUAAAAGGGACUACAGGAUGAAAAACAAUAGUUUUGGCAGUUAAAGUUUGAGAUUCGACGGUGCCGUAGAUCCGUUUGUUCAUCAGGUGUUACGAGCCACACCCAUGUCUAGCUAGAAUAGUGUGUUAGGCUCAGGCUAGAGAAGAAACGGGGAACAAACUGAUGAAAGAAUGAUCAUACCGAGGGAAUUCACUCAGAACUAACAAGAAUGAUAACGUGCUCCGACUGGAGCGGUUUAGGAACUGCUAGAAGGCUCUAGGGGAAUAAAGAAGGAAUGACUUCUAAUUUUUAGGUCCGUAUGAUUUGAAAUACGUGCACACAAACCCCGAGAAAGCGUUCCUGGAAAUCUUGGCCCAAAAAAGGACGUUUAGUAUUCUAAAAGCGACUACAGAAUGAAAAACAAUAGUUUUGCUAGUUAAAGUUUGAGAUUUGAUGGUGCCGUAGAUCUGUUUGGUCAUCAGGUUUUACGAGCCACACCCAUGUCUAGCUAGAAUAGUGUGUUAGGCUCAGGCUAGAAAAGAAACAGGGAAUAAAGUGAUGAAAGAAUGAUCAUACCAAGGGAAUUCACUCAGAACUAACAAGAACGAUAACAUGCUCCGACUGGAGUGGUUUAGAACUGCUGGAAGGCUAAAGGGGAAUAAAGAUGGAAUGACUUCUAAUUUUUAGGUCCGUAUGAUUUGAAAUACUUGCACACAAACCGCACGAAAGUGUUCCUGGAAAUCUCAGCCCAAAAAAGGACGUUUAGUAAUUCUAAAAGGGACUACAGGAUGAAAAACAAUAGUUUUGGCAGUUAAAGUUUGAGAUUCGAUAAUGACGUAGAUCCGUUUGGUCAUCAGGUGUAACGAGCCACACCCAUGUCUAGCUAGAGUAGUGUGCUAGGCUCAGACUAGAGAAGAAACGGGGAACAAACUGAUGAAAGAAUGAUCAUACCGAGGGAAUUCACUCAGAACUAACAAUAAUGAUAACGUGCUCCGACUAGAGCGGUUUAGGAACUGCUGGAAGGCUCUAGGGGAAUAAAGAUGGAAUGACUUCUAAUUUUUAGGUCCCUAUGAUUUGAAAUACUUGCACACAAACCGCGUGAAAGCAUUCCUGGAAAUUUCAGCCCAAAAAAGGACGUUUAGUAAUUUUAAAAGGGACUACACGAUGAAAAAGAAUAGUUUUGGCAGUUAAAGUUUGAGAUUCGACGGUGCCGUAGAUCCGUUUGGUCAUCAGGUGUUACGAGACACACCCAUGUCUAGCUAGAAUAGUAUGUUAGGCUCGGGUUAGAGAAGAAACGGGGAACAAACUGAUGAAAGAAUGAUCAUACCAAGGGAAUUCACUCAGAACUAACAAGAAUGAUAACGUGCUCCGACUGGAGCGGUUUAGGAACUGCUGGAAGGCUCUAGGGGAAUAAAGAUGGAAUGACUUCUAAUUUUUACGUUCGUAUGAUUUGAAAUACUUGCAAACAAACCACGCAAAAGCGUUCCUGGAAAUUUCAUCCUAAAAAAGGACGUUUAGUAAUUCUAAAAGGGACUACAGGAUGAAAAAUAAUAGUUUGGGCAGUUAAAAUUUGAGAUUCGAUGGUGCCGUAGAUCCGUUUGGUCAUCAGGUGUUACGAGCCACACCCAUGUCUAGCUAGAAUAGUGUGUUAGGCUCAGGCUAGAGAAGAAACGGGGAACAAACUGAUGAAAGAAUGAUCAUAUCGAGGGAAUUCACUCAGAACUAACAAGAAUGAUAACGUGCUCCGACUGGAGCAGUUUAGAAACUGCUGGAAGGCUCUAGGGGAAUAAAGAUGGAAUGACUUCUAAUUUUUAGGUCUGUAUGAUUUGAAAUACGUGCACACAAACCCCGAGAAAGCGUUCCUGGAAAUCUCGUCCGGAAAAAGGAUGUUUAAUAAUUCUAAAAGGGACUACAGGAUGAAAAACAAUAGUUUUGGCAGUUAAAGUUUGUGAUUCGAUGGUGCCGUAGAUCUGUUUGGUCAUCAGGUGUUACGGGCCACACCCAUGUCUAGCUAGAAUAGUGUGUUAGGCUCAGGCUAGAGCAGAAACGGGGAGCAAACUUAUGAAAGAAUGAUCAUAGCGAGGGAAUUUACUCAGAACUAACAAGAAUGAUAACGUGCUCCGACUGGAGCGGUUUAGGAACUGCUGGAAGGCUCUAGGGGAAUAAAGAUGGAAUGACUUCAAAUUUUCAGGUAUGUAUGAUCUGAAAUACUUGCACACAAACCGCGAGAAAGCGUUCCUGGAAAUCUCAACCCAAAAAAGGAUGUUUAGUAAUUCUAAAAGGGACUACAGGAUUAAAAACAAUAGUUUUGGCAGUUAAAGUUUGAGAUUCGAUAAUGUCGUAGAUCCGUUUGGUCAUCAGGUGUAACGAGCCACACCCAUGUCUAGCUAGAGUAGUGUGCUAGGCUCAUACUAGAGAAGAAACGGGGAACAAACUGAUGAAAGAAUGAUCAUACCGAGGGAAUUCACUCAGAACUAACAAGAAUGAUAACGUGCUCCGACUGGAGCGGUUUAGGAACUGCUGGAAGGCUCUAGGGGAAUAAAGAUGGAAUGACUUCUUAUUUUUAGGUCCGUAUGAUUUGAAAUACAUGCACACAAACCCCAAGAAAGCGUUCCGGGAAAUCUCGGCCCAAAGAAUGAUGUUUAGUAAUUCUAAAAGGGACUAUAGAAUGAAAAACAAUAGUUUUGGCAGUUAAAGUUUGAGAUUUGACGGUGUCGUAGAUCUGUUUGGUCAUCAGGUGUUACGAGCCACACCCAUUUCUAGCUAGAAUAGUGUGUUAGGCUCAGGCUAGAAAAGAAACGGGGAACAAAGUGAUGAAAGAAUGAUCAUACCGAGGGAAUUCACUCAGAACUAACAAGAAUGAUAACAUGCUCCGACUAGAGCGGUUUAGGAACUGCUGGAAGGCUCUAGGGGAAUAAAUAUGGAAUGACUUCUAAUUUUCAGGUCCGUAUGAUUUGAAAUACUUGCACACAAACCGCGCGAAAGCGUUCCUGGAAAUCUCAUCCCAAAGAAGGUCGUUUAGUAAUUCUAAAAGGGACUACAGGAUGAAAAACAAUAGUUUUGGCAAUUUAAGGUUUGAGAUUCGACGGUGCCGUAGAUCCGUUUGGUCAUCAGGUGUUACGAGCCACACCCAUGUCUAGCUAGAAUAGUGUGCUAGGCUCAGGCUAGAGAAGAAACAGGGAACAAACUGAUGAAAGAAUGAUCAAACCGAGGGAAUUCACUCAGAACUAACAAUAAUGAUAACGUUCUCCGUCUGGAGCGGUUUAGGAACUGCUGGAAGGCUCUAGGGGAAUAAAGAUGGAAUGACUUCUAAUUUUUAGGUCCGUAUGAUUUGAAAUACUUGCACACAAACCGCGCCAAAUCGUUCCUGGAAAUCUCAGCCCAAAAAAGGACGUUUAGUAAUUCUAAAAGGGACUACAGGAUGAAAAACAAUAGUUUUGGCAGUUAAAGUUUGAGAUUCGAUGGUGCCGUAGACCCGUUUGGUCAUCAGGUGUUACGAGCCACACCCAUGUCUAGCUAGAGUAGUGUGCUAGGUUCAGACUAGAGAAGAAACAGGGAACAAAGUGAUGAAAGAAUGAUCAUACCGAGGGAAUUCACUCAGAACUAACAAGAAUGAUAACGUGCUCCGACUGGAGCGGUUUAGGAACUGCUGGAAGGCUCUAGGGGAAUAAAGAUGGAAUGACUUCUAAUUUUUACGUCCGUAUGAUUUGAAAUACUUGCACACAAACCACGCAAAAGCGUUCCUGGAAAUCUCAGCCUAAAAAAGGACGUUUAGUAAUUCAAAAAGGGACUACAAAAUGAAAAACAAUAGUUUUGGCAGUUAAAGUUUGAGAUUCGAUGGUGCCGUAGAUCCGUUUGGUCAUCAGGUGUUACGAGCCACACCCAUGUCUAGCUAGGAUAGUGUGUUAGGCUCAGGCUAGAGAAGAAACGGGGAACAAACUGAUGAAAGAAUGAUCAUACCGAGGGAAUUCACUCAGAACUAACAAGGAUGAUAACAUGCUCCGACUAGAGCGGUUUAGGAACUGCUGGAAGGCUCUAGGGGAAUAAAGAUGGAAUGACUUCUAAUUUUUAGGUCCGUAUGAUUUGAAAUACUUGCACACAAACCGCAAGAAAGCGUUCCUGGAAAUCUCAGCCCAAAAAAGGACGUUUAGUAAUUCUAAAAGGGACUACAGGAUGAAAAACAAUAGUUCUGGCAGUUAAAGUUUGAGAUUCGAUAAUGCCGUAGAUCUGUUUGGUCAUCAGGUGUAACGAGCCACACCCAUGUCUAGCUAGAGUAGUGUGCUAGGCUCAGACUAGAGAAGAAACGGGGAACAAACUGAUGAAAGAAUGAUUAUACCGAGGGAAUUCACUCAGAACUAACGAGAAUGAUAACGUGCUCCGACUGGAGCGGUUUAGGAACUGCUGGAAGGCUCUAGGGGAAUAAAGAUGGAAUGACUUCAAAUUUUUAGGUCUGUAUGAUUUGAAAUACUUGCACACAAACCGCAAGAAAGCGUUCCUUGAAAUCUCAGCCCAAAAAAGGACGUUUAGUAAUUCUAAAAGGGACUACAGGAUGAAAAACAAUAGUUCUGGCAGUUAAAGUUUGAGAUUCGAUAAUGUCGUAGAUCCGUUUGGUCAUCAGGUGUAACGAGCCACACCCAUGUCUAGCUAGAGUAGUGUGCUAGGCUCAGAAUAGAGAAGAAACGGGGAACAAACUGAUGAAAGAAUGAUCAUACCGAGGGAAUUCACUCAGAACUAACAAGAAUGAUAACGUGCUCCGACUGGAGCGGUUUAGGAACUGCUGGAAGGCUCUAGGGGAAUAAAGAAGGAAUGACUUCUAAUUUUUAGGUCCGUAUGAUUUGAAAUACGUGCACACAAACCGCGCGAAAGCGUUCCUGGAAAUCUCAGCCAAAAAAAGGACGUUUAGUAUUCUAAAAGGGACUACAGAAUGAAAAACAAUAGUUUUGGCAGUUAAAGUUUGAGAUUCGACGGUGCUGUAGAUCCGUUUGGUCAUCAGGUGUUACGAGCCACACCCAUGUCUAGCUAGAAUAGUGUGCUAGGCUCAGGCUAGAGAAGAAAAGGGGAACAAACUAAUGAAAGAAUGAUCAAUCCGAGGGAAUUCACUCAGAACUAACAAUAAUGAUAACGUGCUCCGACUGGAGCGGUUUAGGAACUGCUGGAAGGCUCUAGGCGAAUAAAGAUGGAAUGACUUCUAAUUUUUACGUCCGUAUGAUUUGAAAUACUUGCACACAAACCACGCAAAAGCGUUCCUGGAAGUCUCGGCCUAAAAAGGACGUUUAGUAAUUCUAAAAGGGACUACAGGAUGAAAAAUAAUAGUUUGGGCAGUUAAAAUUUGAGAUUCGACGGUGCCGUAGAUCCAUUUGGUCAUCAAGUGUUACGAGCCACACCCAUGUCUAGCUAGAAUAGUGUGUUAGGCUCAGGCUAGAGAAGAAACGGGGAACAAACUGAUGAAAGAAUGAUCAUACCAAGGGAAUUCACUCAGAACUAACAAGAAUGAUAACGUGCUCCGACUGGAGCAGUUUAGAAACUGCUGGAAGGCUCUUGGGGAAUAAAGAUGGAAUGACUUCAAAUUUUUAGGUCCGUAUGAUUUGAAAUACUUGCACACAAACCACGCGAAAGCGUUCCUGGAAAUCUCAGCCCAAAAAAGGACGUUUAGUAAUUCUAAAAGGGACUACAUGAUGAAAAACAAUAGUUUUGGCAGUUAAAGUUUGAGAAUCGUCGGUGCCGUAGAUCCGUUUGGUCAUCAGCUGUAACGAGCCACACCCAUGUCUAGCUAGAGUAGUGUGCUAGGCUCAGACUAGAGAAGAAACAGGGAACAAAGUGAUGAAAGAAUGAUCAUACCGAGGGAAUUCACUUAGAACUAACAAGAAUGAUAACAUGCUCCGACUUGAGCGAUUUAGGAACUUCUGGAAGGCUCUAGGGGAAUAAAGAUGGAAUGACUCAAAUUUUUAGGCCCGUAUGAUUUGAAAUACAUGCACACAAACCGCGAGAAAGUGUUCCUGGAAAUCUUAGCCCAAAAAAGGACGUUUAGUAAUUCUAAAAGGGACUACAGGAUGAAAAACAAUAGUUUUGGUAGUUAAAGUUUCAGAUUCGAUAAUGCCCUAGAUCCGUUUGGUCAUCAGGUGUAACGAGCCACACCAAUGUCUAGCUAGAGUAGUGUGCUAGGCUCAGACUAGAUAAGAAACGGGGAAGAAACUGAUGAAAGAAUGAUCAGACCGAGGGAAUUCACUCAGAACUAACAAUAAUGAUAACGUGCUCCGAGUGGAGCGGUUUAGGAACUGCUGGAAGGCUCUAGGGGAAUAAAGAUGGAAUGACUUCUAAUUUUUAGGUCCGUAUGAUUUGAAAUACGUGCACACAAACCCCGAGAAACCGUUCCUUGAAAUCUCGGCCCAAAAAAGGACGUUUAGUAAUUCUAAAAGGGACUACAAAAUGAAAAACAAUAGUUUUGGCAGUUAAAGUUUGAGAUUCGACGGUGUCGUAGACCCGUUUGGUCUUCAGGUGUUACGAGCCACACCCAUGUCUAGCCAGAGUAGUGUGCUAGGUUCAGACUAGAGAAGAAACGGGGAACAAAGUGAUGAAAGAAUGAUCAUACCGAGGGAAUUCACUCAGAACUAACAAGAAUGAUAACGUGCUCCGACUGGAGCGGGUUAGGAACUCCUGGAAGGCUCUAGGGGAAUAAAGAUGGAAUGACUUCUAAUUUUUACGUCCGUAUGAUUUGAAAUACUUGCACACAAACCACGCAAAAGCGUUCCUGGAAAUCUCAGCCUAAAAAAGGACGUUUAGUAAUUCUAAAAGGGACUACAGGAUGAAAAAUAAUAGUUUGGUCAUCAGGUGUUACGAGCCACACCCAUGUCUAGCUAGAAUAGUGUGCUAGGCUCAGGCUAGAGAAGAAACGGGGAAUAAACUGAUGAAAGAAUGAUCAAACCGAGGGAAUUCACUCAGAACUAACAAUAAUGAUAACGUUCUCCGUCUGGAGCGGUUUAGGAACUGCUGGAAGGCUCUAGGGGAAUAAAGAUGGAAUGACUUCUAAUUUUUAGGUCCGUAUGAUACGAAAUACUUGCACACAAACCGCGCGAAAUCGUUCCUGGAAAUCUCAGCCCAAAAAAGGACGUUUAGUAAUUCUAAAAGGGACUACAGCAUGAAAAACAAUAGUUCUGGCAGUUAAAGUUUGAGAUUCGAUAAUGCCGUAGAUCCGUUUGGUCAUCAGGUGUAACGAGCCACACCCAUGUCUAGCUAGAGUAGUAUGCUAGGCUCAGACUAGAGAAGAAACGGGGAACAAACUGAUGAAAGAAUGAUUAUACCGAGGGAAUUCACUCAGAACUAACAAGAAUGAUAACGUGCUCCGGCUGGAGCGGUUUAGGAACUGCUAGAAGGCUCUAGGGGAAUAAAGAUGGAAUGACUUCAAAUUUUUAGGUCUGUAUGAUUUGAAAUACUUGCACACAAACCGCAAGAAAGCGUUCCUGGAAAUCUCAGCCCAAAAAAGGACGUUUAGUAAUUCUAAAAGGGACUAUAGGAUGAAAAACAAUAGUUCUGGUAGUUAAAGUUUGAGAUUCGAUAAUGUCAUAGAUCCGUUCGGUCAUCAGGUGUAACGAGCCACACCCAUGUCUAGCUAGAGUAGUGUGCUAGGCUCAGACUAGAGAAGAAACGGGGAACAAACUGAUGAAAGAAUGAUCAUACCGAGGGAAUUCACUCAGAACUAACAAGAAUGAUAACGUGCUCCGACUGGAGCGGUUUAGGAACUGCUGGAAGGCUCUAGGGGAAGAAAGAAGGAAUGACUUCUAAUUUUUAGGUCCGUAUGAUUUGAAAUACGUGCACACAAACCGCGCGAAAGCGUUCCUGGAAAUCUCAGCCCAAAAAAGGACGUUUAGUAUUCUAAAAGGGACUACAGAAUGAAAAACAAUAGUUUUGGCAGUUAAAGUUUGAGAUUCGACGGUGCCGUAGAUCCGUUUGGUCAUCAGGUGUUACGAGCCACACCCAUGUCUAGCUAGAAUAGUGUGCUAGGCUCAGGCUAGAGAAGAAAAGGGGAACAAACUGAUGAAAGAAUGAUCAAACCGAGGGAAUUCACUCAGAACUAACAAUAAUGAUAACGUGCUCCGACUGGAGCGGUUUAGGAACUGCUGGAAGGCUCUUGGCGAAUAAAGAUGGAAUGACUUCUAAUUUUUACGUCCGUAUGAUUUGAAAUACUUCCACACAAACCAGGCAAAGGCGUUCCUGGAAAUCUCGGCCUAAAAAGGACGUUUAGUAAUUCUAAAAGGGACUACAGGAUGAAAAAUAAUAGUUUGGGCAGUUAAAAUUUUAGAUUCGACGGUGCCGUAGAUCCGUUUGGUCAUCAGGUGUUACGAGCCACACCCAUGUCUAGCUAGAAUAGUGUGUUAGGCUCAGGCUAGAGAAGAAACGGGGAACAAACUGAUGAAAGAAUGAUCAUACCAAGGGAAUUCACUCAGAACUAACAAGAAUGAUAACGUGCUCCGACUGGAGCAGUUUAGAAACUACUGGAAGGCUCUAGGGGAAUAAAGAUGGAAUGACUUCAAAUUUUUAGGUCCGUAUGAUUUGAAAUACUUGCACACAAACCGCGCGAAAGCGUUCCUGGAAAUCUCAGCCCAAAAAAGGACGUUUAGUAAUUCUAAAAGGGACUACAUGAUGAAAAACAAUAGUUUUGGCAGUUAAAGUUUGAGAUUCGUCGGUGCCGUAGAUCCGUUUGGUCAUCAGCUGUAACGAGCCACACCCAUUUCUAGCUAGAGUAGUGUGCUAGGCUCAGACUAAAGAAGAAAUGGGGAACAAAGUGAUGAAAGAAUGCUCAUACCGAGGGAAUUCACUCAGAACUAACAAGAAUGAUAACAUGCUCCGACUUGAGCGAUUUAGGAACUUCUGGAAGGCUCUAGGGGAAUAAAGAUGGAAUGACUCAAAUUUUUAGGUCCGUAUGAUUUGAAAUACUUGCACACAAACCGCGAGAAAGCGUUCCUGGAAAUCUCAGCCCAAAAAAGGACGUUUAGUAAUUCUAAAAGGGACUACAUGAUGAAAAACAAUAGUUUUGGCAGUUAAAGUUUGAGAUUUGAUAAUGCCGUAGAUCCGUUUGGUCAUCAGGUGUAACGAGCCACACCCAUGUCUAGCUAGAGUAGUGUGCUAGGCUAAGACUAGAUAAGAAAAGGGGAAGAAACUUAUGAAAGAAUGAUCAGACCGAGGGAAUUCACUCAGAACUAACAAUAAUGAUAACGUGCUCCGACUGGAGCGGUUUAGGAACUGCUGGAAGGCUCUAGGGGAAUAAAGAUGGAAUGACUUCUAAUUUUUAGGUCCGUAUGAUUUGAAAUACGUGCACACAAACCCCGAGAAACCGUUCCUGGAAAUCUCGGCCCAAAAAAGGAUGUUUAGUAAUUCUAAAAGGGACUACAAAAUGAAAAACAAUAGUUUUGGCAGUUAAAGUUUGAGAUUUGAUGGUGCCGUAGAUCUGUUUGGUCAUCAGGUGUUACGAGCCACACCCAUGUCUAGCUAGAAUAGUGUGUUAGGCUCAGGCUAGAAAAGAAACGGGAAACAAAGUGAUGAAAGAAUGAUCAUACCGAGGGAAUUCACUCAGAACUAACAAGAAUGAUAACAUGCUCUGACUGGAGCGGUUUAGGAACUGCUGGAAGGCUCUAGGGGAAUAAAGAUGGAAUGACUUCUAAUGUUUAGGUCCGUAUGAUUUGAAAUACUUGCACAUAAACCGCGCAAAAGCGUUCCUGGAAAUCUCAGCCCAAAAAAGGACGUUUAGUAAUUCUAAAAGGGACUACAGGAUGAAAAACAAUAGUUUUGGCAGUUAAAGUUUGAGAUUCGACGGUGCCGUAGAUCCGUUUGUUCAUCAGGUGUUACGAGCCACACCCAUGUCUAGCUAGAAUAGUGUGUUAGGCUCAGGCUAGAGAAGAAACGGGGAACAAACUGAUGAAAGAAUGAUCAAACCGAGGGAAUUCACUCAGAACUAACAAUAAUGAUAACGUGCUCCGACUAGAGCGGUUUAGGAACUGCUGGAAGGCUCUAGGGGAAUAAAGAUGGAAUGACUUCUAAUUUUUAGGUCUGUAUGAUUUGAAAUACUUGCACGCAAACCGCGCGAAAGCGUUCCCGGAAAUAUCAGCCUAAAGAAGGACGUUUAGUAAUUCUAAAAGGGACUACAGGAUGAAAAACAAUAGUUUUGGCAGUUAAAGUUUGAGAUUCAACGGUGCCGUAGAUCCGUUUGGUCAUCAGGUGUUACGAGCCACACCCAUGUCUAGCUAGAGUAGUGUGCUAGGCUCAGGCUAGAGAAGAAACAGGGAACAAACUGAUGAAAGAAUGAUCAUACCGAGGGAAUUCACUCAGAACUGAUGAAAGAAUGAUCAAACCAAGGAAAUUCACUCAGAACUAACAAUAAUGAUAACAUGCUCCGACUGGAGCGGUUUAGGAACUGCUGGAAGGCUCUAGGGGAAUAAAGAUGGAAUGACUUCUAAUUUUUAGGUCCGUAUGAUUUGAAAUACGUGCACACAAACCCCGAGAAACCGUUCCUGGAAAUCUCGGCCCAAAAAAGGACGUUUAGUAAUUCUAAAAGGGACAACAAAAUGAAAAACAAUAGUUUUGGCAGUUAAAGUUUGAGAUUCGACGGUGCCGUAGACCCGUUUGGUCAUCAGGUGUUACGAGCCACACCCAUGUCUAGCUAGAGUAGUGUGCUAGGUUCAGACUAGAGAAGAAACGGGGAACAAAGUGAUGAAAGAAUGAUCAUACCGAGGGAAUUCACUCAGAACUAACAAGAAUGAUAACGUGCUCCGACUGGAGCGGGUUAGGAAUUGCUGGAAGGCUCUAGGGGAAUAAAGAUAGAAUGACUUCUAAUUUUUACGUCCGUAUGAUUUGAAAUACUUGCACACAAACCACGCAAAAGCGUUCCUAGAAAUCUCAGCCUAAAAAAGGACGUUUAGUAAUUCUAAAAGGGACUACAGGAUGAAAAAUAAUAGUUUGGCCAGUUAAAAUUUAAGAUUCGACGGUGCCGUAGAUCCGCUUGGUCAUCAGGUGUUACGAGCCACACCCAUGUCUAGCUAGAAUAGUGUGUUAGGCUCAGGCUAGAGAAGAAACGGGGAACAAACUGAUGAAAGAAUGAUCAUACCGAGGGAAUUCACUCAGAACUAACAAGAAUGAUAACAUGCUCCGACUGGAGCGGUUUAGGAACUGCUGGAAGGCUCUAGGGGAAUAAAGAUGGAAUGACUUCUAAUUUUUAGGUCCGUAUGAUUUGAAAUACUUGCACACAAACCGCAAGAAAGCGUUCCUGGAAAUCUCAGCACAAAAAAGGACGUUUAGUAAUUCUAAAAGGGACUACAGCAUGAAAAACAAUAGUUCUGGCAGUUAAAGUUUGAGAUUCGAUAAUGCCGUAGAUCCGUUUGGUCAUCAGGUGUAACGAGCCACACCCAUGUCUAGCUAGAGUAGUGUGCUAGGCUCAGACUAGAGAAGAAACGGGGAACAAAAUGAUGAAAGAAUGAUUAUACCGAGGGAAUUCACUCAGAACUAACAAGAAUGAUAACGUGCUCCGACUGGAGCGGUUUAGGAACUGCUGGAAGGCUCUAGGGGAAUAAAGAUGGAAUGACUUCAAAUUUUUAGGUCUGUAUGAUUUGAAAUACUUGCACACAAACCGCAAGAAAGCGUUCCUGGAAAUCUCAGCCCAAAAAUGGACGUUUAGUAAUUCUAAAAGGGACUAUAGGAUGAAAAACAAUAGUUCUGGCAGUUAAAGUUUGAGAUUCGAUAAUGUCGUAGAUCCGUUCGGUCAUCAGGUGUAACGAGCCACACCCAUGUCUAGCUAGAGUAGUGUGCUAGGCUCAGACUAGAGAAGAAACGGGGAACAAACUGAUGAAAGAAUGAUCAUACCGAGGGAAUUCACUCAGAACUAACAAGAAUGAUAACGUGCUCCGACUGGAGCGGUUUAGGAACUGCUGGAAGGCUCUAGGGGAAGAAAGAAGGAAUGACUUCUAAUUUUUAGGUCCGUAUGAUUUGAAAUACGUGCACACAAACCGCGCGAAAGCGUUCCUGGAAAUCUCAGCCCAAAAAAGGACGUUUAGUAUUCUAAAAGGGACUACAGAAUGAAAAACAAUAGUUUUGGCAGUUAAAGUUUGAGAUUCGACGGUGCCGUAGAUCCGUUUGGUCAUCAGGUGUUACGAGCCACACCCAUGUCUAGCUAGAAUAGUGUGCCAGGCUCAGGCUAGAGAAGAAAAGGGGAACAAACUGAUGAAAGAAUGAUCAAACCGAGGGAUUUCACUCAGAACUAACAAUAAUGAUAACGUGCUCCGACUGGAGCGGUUUAGGAACUGCUGGAAGGCUCUAGGCGAAUAAAGAUGGAAUGACUUCUAAUUUUUACGUCCGUAUGAUUUUAAAUACUUGCACACAAACCACGCAAAAGCGUUCCUGGAAAUCUCGGCCUAAAAAGGACGUUUAGUAAUUCUAAAAGGGACUACAGGAUGAAAAAUAAUAGUUUGGGCAGUUAAAAUUUGAGAUUCGACGGUGCCGUAGAUCCGUUUGGUCAUCAGGUGUUACGAGCCACACCCAUGUCUAGCUAGAAUAGUGUGUUAGGCUCAGGCUAGAGAAGAAACAGGGAACAAACUGAUGAAAGAAUGAUCAUACCAAGGGAAUUCACUCAGAACUAACAAGAAUGAUAACGUGCUCCGACUGGAGCAGUUUAGAAACUGCUGGAAGGCUCUAGGGGAAUAAAGAUGGGAUGACUUCAAAUUUUUAGGUCCGUAUGAUUUGAAAUACUUGCACACAAACCGCGCGAAAGCGUUCCUGGAAAUCGCAGCCCAAAAAAGGACGUUUAGUAAUUCUAAAAGGGACUACAUGAUGAAAAACAAUAGUUUUGGCAGUUAAAGUUUGAGAUUCGUCGGUGCCGUAGAUCCGUUUGGUCAUCAGCUGUAACGAGCCACACCCAUGUCUAGCUAGAGUAGUGUGCUAGGCUCAGACUAGAGAAGAAAUGGGGAAAAAAGUGAUGAAAGAAUGAUCAUACCGAGGGAAUUCACUCAGAACUAACAAGAAUGAUAACAUGCUCCGACAUGAGCGAUUUAGGAACUUCUGGAAGGCUCUAGGGGAAUAAAGAUGGAAUGACUCAAAUUUUUAGGUCCGUAUGAUUUGAAAUACUUGCACACAAACCGCGAGAAAGCGUUCCUGGAAAUCUCAGCCCAAAAAAGGACAUUUAGUAAUUCUAAAAGGGACUACAGGAUGAAAAACAAUAGUUUUGGCAGUUAAAGUUUGAGAUUUGAUAAUGCCGUAGAUCCGUUUGGUCAUCAGGUGUAACGAGCCACACCCAUGUCUAGCUAGAGUAGUGUGCUAGGCUAAGACUAGAUAAGAAACCGGGAAGAAACUAAUGAAAGAAUGAUCAGACCGAGGGAAUUCACUCAGAACUAACAAUAAUGAUAACGUGCUCCGACUGGAGCGGUUUAGGAACUGCUGGAAGGCUCUAGGGGAAUAAAGAUGAAAUGACUUCUAAUUUUUAGGUUCGUAUGAUUUGAAAUACAUGCACACAAACCCCGAGAAACCGUUCCUGGAAAUCUCGGCCCAAAAAAGGAUGUUUAGUAAUUCUAAAAGGGACUACAAAAUGAAAAACAAUAGUUUUGGUAGUUAAAGUUUGAGAUUUGAUGGUGCCAUAGAUCUGUUUGGUCAUCAGGUGUUACGAGCCACACCCAUGUCUAGCUAGAAUAGUGUGUUAGGCUCAGGCUAGAAAAGAAACGGGAAACAAAGUGAUGAAAGAAUGAUCAUACCGAGGGAAUUCACUCAGAACUAACAAGAAUGAUAACAUGCUCUGACUGGAGCGGUUUAGGAACUGCUGGAAGGCUCUAGGGGAAUAAAGAUGGAAUGACUUCUAAUGUUUAGGUCCGAGGUCCGUAUGAUUUGAAAUACUUGCACAUAAACCGUGCAAAAGCGUUCCUGGAAAUCUCAGCCCAAAAAAGGACGUUUAGUAAUUCUAAAAGGGACUACAGGAUGAAAAACAAUAGUUUUGGCAGUUAAAGUUUGAGAUUCGACGGUGCCGUAGAUCCGUUCGUUCAUCAGGUGUUACGAGCCACACCCAUGUCUAGCUAGAAUAGUGUGUUAGGCUCAGGCUAGAGAAGAAACGGGGAACAAACUGAUGAAAGAAUGAUCAAACCGAGGGAAUUCACUCAGAACUAACAAUAAUGAUAACGUGCUCCGACUAGAGCGGUUUAGGAACUGCUGGAAGGCUCUAGGGGAAUAAAGAUGGAAUGACUUCUAAUUUUUAGGUCUGUAUGAUUUGAAAUACUUGCACGCAAACCGCGCGAAAGCGUUCCCGGAAAUAUCAGCCCAAAAAAGGACGUUUAGUAAUUCUAAAAGGGACUACAGGAUGAAAAACAAUAGUUUUGGCAGUUAAAGUUUGAGAUUCAACGGUGCCGUAGAUCCGUUUGGUCAUCAGGUGUUACGAGCCACACCCAUGUCUAGCUAGAGUAGUGUGCUAGGCUCAGGCUAGAGAAGAAACAGGGAACAAACUGAUGAAAGAAUGAUCAUACCGAGGGAAUUCACUCAGAACUGAUGAAAGAAUGAUCAAACCGAGGAAAUUCACUCAGAACUAACAAUAAUGAUAACAUGCUCCGACUGGAGCGGUUUAGGAACUGCUGGAAGGCUCUAGGGGAAUAAAGAUGGAAUGACUUCUAAUUUUUAGGUCCGUAUGAUUUGAAAUACGGGCACACAAACCCCGAGAAACCGUUCCUGGAAAUCUCGGCCCGAAAAAGGACGUUUAGUAAUUCUAAAAGGGACUACAAAAUGAAAAACAAUAGUUUUGGCAGUUAAAGUUUGAGAUUCGACGGUGCCGUAGACCCGUUCGGUCAUCAGGUGUAACGAGCCACACCCAUGUCUAGCUAGAGUAGUGUGCUAGGCUCAGACUAGAGAAGAAACGGGGAACAAACUGAUGAAAGAAUGAUCAUACCGAGGGAAUUCACUCAGAACUAACAAGAAUGAUAACGUGCUCCGACUGGAGCGGUUUAGGAACUGCUAGAAGGCUCUAGGGGAAGAAAGAAGGAAUGACUUCUAAUUUUUAGGUCUGUAUGAUUUGAAAUACGUGCACACAAACCGCGCGAAAGCGUUCCUGGAAAUCUCAGCCCAAAAAAGGACGUUUAGUAUUCUAAAAGGGACUACAGAAUGAAAAACAAUAGUUUUAGCAGUUAAAGUUUGAGAUUCGACGGUGCCGUAGAUCCGUCUGGUCAUCAGGUGUUACGAGCCACACCCAUGUCUAGCUAGAAUAGUGUGCUAGGCUCAGGCUAGAGA
Molecule: long non-coding RNA, 44323 nt
Filed under: Triticum aestivum (bread wheat)
Lineage: Eukaryota; Viridiplantae; Streptophyta; Magnoliopsida; Poales; Poaceae
Description: long non-coding RNA (TAES_LNC019907)
Source: RNAcentral